ACGCUCGACACCUACGGAGGCAGCAGUGGGGAAUAUUGCACAAUGGGGGAAACCCUGAUGCAGCGACGCCGCGUGAACGAAGAAGUAUUUCGGUAUGUAAAGCUCUAUCAGCAGGGAAGAAAGUGACGGUACCUGACUAAGAAGCACCGGCUAAAUACGUGUCAGCAGCCGCGGUAAUCUGAGCGGGCUGGCAAGGC
This 197-nucleotide ribosomal RNA is filed under the name uncultured bacterium. RNAcentral's name for it is "partial 16S ribosomal RNA". It matches the Rfam family "Bacterial small subunit ribosomal RNA", at positions 328 to 539 of the family's 1533-position model. The record is from RNAcentral.